GUUGAACGCUGGCGGCAGGCCUAACACAUGCAAGUCGAACGGUAACAGGAAGAAGCUUGCUUCUUUGCUGACGAGUGGCGGACGGGUGAGUAAUGUCUGGGAAACUGCCUGAUGGAGGGGGGUAACUACUGGAAACGGUAGCUAAUACCGCAUAACGUCGCAAGACCAAAGAGGGGGACCUUCGGGCCUCUUGCCCUCGGAUGUGCCCAGAUGGGAUUAGCUAGUAGGUGGGGUAACGGCUCACCUAGGCGACGAUCCCUAGCUGGUCUGAGAGGAUGACCAGCCACACUGGAACUGAGACACGGUCCAGACUCCUACGGGAGGCAGCAGUGGGGAAUAUUGCACAAUGGGCGCAAGCCUGAUGCAGCCAUGCCGCGUGUAUGAAGAAGGCCUUCGGGUUGUAAAGUACUUUCAGCGGGGAGGAAGGGAGUAAAGUUAAUACCUUUGCUCAUUGACGUUACCCGCAGAAGAAGCACCGGCUAACUCCGUG
This 490-nucleotide ribosomal RNA is filed under the name uncultured bacterium. RNAcentral describes it as "partial 16S ribosomal RNA". It matches the Rfam family "Bacterial small subunit ribosomal RNA", at positions 28 to 507 of the family's 1533-position model. The record is from RNAcentral.